UACGUAGGGUGCGAGCGUUGUCCGGAAUUAUUGGGCGUAAAGAGCUCGUAGGCGGUGUGUCGCGUCGGCCGUGAAAACCUGCAGCUUAACUGUGGGCGUGCGGUCGAUACGGGCAUCACUGGAGUUCGGCAGGGGAGACUGGAAUUCCUGGUGUAGCGGUGAAAUGCGCAGAUAUCAGGAGGAACACCAGUGGCGAAGGCGGUGCUCUGGGCCGGAACUGACGCUGAGGAGCGAAAGCGUGGGGAGCAAACAGG
This 254-nucleotide ribosomal RNA is filed under the name uncultured bacterium. RNAcentral describes it as "partial 16S ribosomal RNA". It matches the Rfam family "Bacterial small subunit ribosomal RNA", at positions 524 to 776 of the family's 1533-position model. The record is from RNAcentral.